GGGCUUGUAGUUCAGUUGGCUAGAACGCUUCCAUGGCAUGGAAGAGGUCAGGGGUUCGAGUCCCCUCAAGUCCACCA
This 77-nucleotide transfer RNA is filed under the name Parcubacteria group bacterium. RNAcentral describes it as "tRNA-Ala". It matches the Rfam family "tRNA". From Rfam's summary of the family: Transfer RNA (tRNA) molecules are approximately 80 nucleotides in length. Their secondary structure includes four short double-helical elements and three loops (D, anti-codon, and T loops). Further hydrogen bonds mediate the characteristic L-shaped molecular structure. tRNAs have two regions of fundamental functional importance: the anti-codon, which is responsible for specific mRNA codon recognition, and the 3' end, to which the tRNAs corresponding amino acid is attached (by aminoacyl-tRNA synthetases). tRNAs cope with the degeneracy of the genetic code in two manners: having more than one tRNA (with a specific anti-codon) for a particular amino acid; and 'wobble' base-pairing, i.e. permitting non-standard base-pairing at the 3rd anti-codon position. The record is from RNAcentral.